AAAGUGGACGCUUGUAGCGAUAGGCUGCCAAUCCCGUCAGGUCUGGAAGGAAGCAGCGGCAACAGCUGAUUCGGGUGCUCGUUAAGCCACUUUCAU
This 96-nucleotide signal recognition particle RNA is filed under the name Pseudomonadota bacterium. RNAcentral's name for it is "Proteobacteria bacterium (marine metagenome) signal recognition particle sRNA small type". It matches the Rfam family "Bacterial small signal recognition particle RNA". Rfam says of the family: The signal recognition particle (SRP) is a universally conserved ribonucleoprotein involved in the co-translational targeting of proteins to membranes. Archaeal SRP consists of a 7S RNA and homologues of the eukaryotic SRP19 and SRP54 proteins. RNAcentral also lists the same sequence under 1 other name. The record is from RNAcentral. Lineage: Bacteria; Pseudomonadati; Pseudomonadota.